This 463-nucleotide ribosomal RNA is filed under the name uncultured bacterium. Its description in RNAcentral is "partial 16S ribosomal RNA". It matches the Rfam family "Bacterial small subunit ribosomal RNA", at positions 28 to 507 of the family's 1533-position model. The record is from RNAcentral.
GACGAACGCUGGCGGCGUGCUUAACACAUGCAAGUCGAACGGAAAGGCCUUUUCGGAGGUACUCGAGUGGCGAACGGGUGAGUAACACGUGGGUGAUCUGCCCUGCACUCUGGGAUAAGCCUGGGAAACUGGGUCUAAUACCGGAUAGGACCGCACUUUAGUGUGUGUGGUGGAAAGUUUUUUCGGUGUAGGAUGAGCCCGCGGCCUAUCAGCUUGUUGGUGGGGUAAUGGCCUACCAAGGCGGCGACGGGUAGCCGGACUGAGAGGUUGGUCGGCCACAUUGGGACUGAGAUACGGCCCAGACUCCUACGGGAGGCAGCAGGGGGGAAUAUUGCACAAGGGGCGCAAGCCUGAUGCAGCGACGCCGCGUGGGGGAUGACGGCCUUCGGGUUGUAAACUCCUUUCGCCAGGGACGAAGCGUUUUGUGACGGUACCUGGAGAAGAAGCACCGGCUAACUACGUG